CCUCCCGUGUAGCUGGGACGACAGGCGCACAUCAUCAUAUCAGGAACCAUCCUGCCACCUGCCCUGAAGAGGCUGCAAAAUGGCCAGGAGGAGAUUGGGAGAAUUUAAUCCUUGCACCUCAAGAAGAAACAGUUCUACUUUUAAAUAGAAGAGGACAGUGAGUAGCUGAGAAUCCAGGGAGCGUGAACCAUGUAGACUGCCAAUUUGGAGAGUAGUUUUUAGACUUCUAGACAUAGUCAAUGCCUAGAACUUGUAAAGAAAUUCUGUUAUCAGUAAUAUGUACUCUCGAUUUGGUUUGUUGGUAUGCAAACUCAUUCAAGUCUGGGAUCUGCAGAGAAGGAAUUGUAAUCCCACAACAAAUGUCAUUUGCAGCCCUUAGAAAUAAAAAAAAUACUCAUGUAUUGUUAG
Molecule: non-coding RNA, 408 nt
Organism: Macaca mulatta (Rhesus monkey)
Lineage: Eukaryota; Metazoa; Chordata; Mammalia; Primates; Cercopithecidae
Source: RefSeq, a predicted model, not a curated record